This 897-nucleotide ribosomal RNA is filed under the name Colletotrichum novae-zelandiae. Its description in RNAcentral is "LSU rRNA". It matches the Rfam family "Eukaryotic large subunit ribosomal RNA", at positions 38 to 966 of the family's 3401-position model. Lineage: Eukaryota; Fungi; Ascomycota; Sordariomycetes; Glomerellales; Glomerellaceae. The record is from RNAcentral.
AAUUAUCAUUAAGCGGAGGAAAAGAAACCAACAGGGAUUGCCUCAGUAACGGCGAGUGAAGCGGCAACAGCUCAAAUUUGAAAUCUGGCCCCAGGCCCGAGUUGUAAUUUGCAGAGGAUGCUUUUGGCGCGGUGCCUUCCGAGUUCCCUGGAACGGGACGCCAUAGAGGGUGAGAGCCCCGUACGGUUGGACACCAAGCCUUUGUAAAGCUCCUUCGACGAGUCGAGUAGUUUGGGAAUGCUGCUCAAAAUGGGAGGUAUAUUUCUUCUAAAGCUAAAUAUUGGCCAGAGACCGAUAGCGCACAAGUAGAGUGAUCGAAAGAUGAAAAGCACUUUGAAAAGAGGGUUAAACAGCACGUGAAAUUGUUAAAAGGGAAGCGCUUAUGACCAGACUUGCGCCCGGUGAAUCACCCAGCUCUCGCGGCUGGGGCACUUUGCCGGCUCAGGCCAGCAUCAGCUCGCUGUCGGGGACAAAAGCUUCGGGAACGUAGCUCUCUUCGGGGAGUGUUAUAGCCCGUUGCACAAUACCCUUCGGCGGGCUGAGGUACGCGCUCCGCAAGGAUGCUGGCGUAAUGGUCAUCAGCGACCCGUCUUGAAACACGGACCAAGGAGUCAACCUUAUGUGCGAGUGUUUGGGUGUUAAACCCCUACGCGUAAUGAAAGUGAACGCAGGUGAGAGCUUCGGCGCAUCAUCGACCGAUCCUGAUGUUCUCGGAUGGAUUUGAGUAAGAGCAUAUAGGGUUGGACCCGAAAGAAGGUGAACUAUGCGUGUAUAGGGUGAAGCCAGAGGAAACUCUGGUGGAGGCUCGCAGCGGUUCUGACGUGCAAAUCGAUCGUCAAAUAUGCGCAUGGGGGCGAAAGACUAAUCGAACCUUCUAGUAGCUGGUUUCCGCCGAAU